UGUAAGAAUAAAUGGUCGAACAGACCAAAUUUUUAAACUUCUUCAUUUAAAAAUAAUCUUAAUUCAACAUCGAGGUCGCAAUCUAUUUUGUCGAUAAGUUCUCUAAAAAAUUAUUACGCUGUUAUCCCUUAAGUAACUUAUUCUUUUUAUCAUAAAUUAUAGAUCAAAUCAUAAAUCAAUGAAAAAAAGUUUAAUAAAUCUUCCUAUCACCCCAAUAAAAUAUAAUAUAAAGCUUUAAAGGGUCUUCUCGUCCUUUAAAUAUAUUUAUGCUUUUUAACACAAAAAUUAAAUUCUAAAUCAAUAAAAUAUAGACAGUUAAUAUCUCAUCCAAUCAUUCAUACCAGCUUUCAAUUAAAAAACUAUUGAUUAUGCUACCUUUGCACAGUCAUAAUACUGCGGCCUUUUUCAAUGGGCAGAUUAGACUUUAAAUU
This 431-nucleotide ribosomal RNA is filed under the name Xenopsylla dipodilli. RNAcentral's name for it is "partial 16S ribosomal RNA". Lineage: Eukaryota; Metazoa; Arthropoda; Insecta; Siphonaptera; Pulicidae. The record is from RNAcentral.